RNAcentral lists this long non-coding RNA (901 nucleotides) under Cottoperca gobio. RNAcentral's name for it is "lncRNA (ENSCGOG00000006196.1)". Lineage: Eukaryota; Metazoa; Chordata; Actinopteri; Perciformes; Bovichtidae. The record is from RNAcentral.
UGAGAACACCUGUGUGGGUGGCUCAUUGGUGGGGGCUGUAAAUAUCUCACACAAUGGAAACUGUGAAAAGCGAAUGAGAACACUCCCCUCAGUUGGACUCGACUUCAUGCACAAAAAUGAGGACUUGUGUCUUGACGUAUUUAAACGUUACUACCUAAAGAGUCUCGAGUUUUUGAGGCAAAAUCCUGGAGAAAUUGUGAGAAAACCGCUAGGAAAAGCUGAGACACUUGAUGCUCACGUGGAUGGAUGAAGCCACUAGCCUGGAAGCUAUCGAUGAGCCCAGUGUGUGAAAGUCAUGACUGGAUUCAACCACUAGAGGGACCUGGGGCAAAAUGAAUUCUGGGCGCCUACUGACCUUAUGUUGGCAUGUGAAAGAUCCAGAUUAGGUAAUAAAUUAUUAAUUGCUCUUUAGCUGUUAGAUGUUAAAAAUAGUCACCAGUCACUAAAGUUGUCCGUCUGCUAUUUAGGCCGGCACAUGUGGAGUGCAGCGCAUUCAUCAGAGCUGUUCUGCCUACACACAGGUGCCGACUGCUGCUGGAAACUAGGUUGAUGAAAGCAGAACGUGCACGCCAGAAAACCCAAAGAAAAACCUCCAUAGUGCUCGUCUGACACAAGUCGGGUUCACAGCAAGCCACCAUUUUCUGGUGUGUCUCGUGUUAUUCAUUUGAUGCACUGUUAACAUAAAAGCAUUAAACGUUUACUUUGCCAUAUUAACCAUUUCUAACUUUUUAUUUUCUGAUUUUGAAUAAGCGGUGUUGAAGUGCUUUGUGGUGCAUUCCUCUCGACCUGACUUGAUGGACAUCUCCUCUAAAUGACAGUUUUGACUUGUUGUUGUCACUUGUAGGAACUCAAAAUGUUUAUGUGUAAAACGAUAUGCAGAAGAAAAUGAACAGUUUCGCCC